GUGGGGAAUAUUGCGCAAUGGGCGGAAGCCUGACGCAGCGACGCCGCGUGGGGGAUGACGGCCUUCGGGUUGUAAACCUCUUUCGCCAUCGACGAAGUUCUGGGUUUUUGCCUGGGGUGACGGUAGGUGGAGAAGAAGCACCGGCCAACUACGUGCCAGCAGCCGCGGUAACACGUAGGGUGCGAGCGUUGUCCGGAAUUAUUGGGCGUAAAGAGCUCGUAGGCGGUGUGUCGCGUCGGCCGUGAAAACUUUCAGCUUAACUGGGAGCGUGCGGUCGAUACGGGCAUCACUUGAGUUCGGCAGGGGAGACUGGAAUUCCUGGUGUAGCGGUGAAAUGCGCAGAUAUCAGGAGGAACACCGGUGGCGAAGGCGGGUCUCUGGGCCGAUACUGACGCUGAGGAGCGAAAGCGUGGGGAGCGAACAGGAUUAGAUACCCUGGUAGUCCACGCUGUAAACGUUGGGCGCUAGGUGUGGGGGCCAUUCCACGGUCUCUGUGCCGCAGCUAACGCAUUAAGCGCCCCGCCUGGGGAGUACGGCCGCAAGGC
Molecule: ribosomal RNA, 545 nt
Filed under: uncultured bacterium
Lineage: Bacteria
Description: bacterial SSU rRNA
Rfam family: Bacterial small subunit ribosomal RNA
Source: RNAcentral